Macaca mulatta (Rhesus monkey) is the source of this 2377-nucleotide non-coding RNA. Lineage: Eukaryota; Metazoa; Chordata; Mammalia; Primates; Cercopithecidae. The record is from RefSeq and is a predicted model, not a curated record.
UUAUAAAUACACAUAUACAUAUCUGUGUAUGUAUAUGUGCAUAGUUCUGUAUACACAUACAGACAUAUGGGUGUGUUGUAACAUCAUUCAAUUAGCAUCACCUGUUCUCUUUUUUUGGUGGAAUACACUGUUUUUAUUAUUCUACAGAGAAGGGUACAUCACAAUUGAUGUCUAGACUUGCCCAAGUAACUUUCUCUCUCCAGCAGGUUCUGCAAGUUCUUGGGUUUGGAAAUUUCCUUCCUGCUCACCUCCACUGACAGCAUGUUCACCUCACCUUAGGCCCUCUGGUUUUAUGCUCCAAAAAUGUGAUGAGCCUAAAGAUAAUUUUUCUCUCAGGAAAACAAUAAUGACUCGAUCACUGAUACACUAUGGAUUCAUACAGAAUGGUGAGUCUAUUUGAUUUGUCUAUUAACCUGGAAGAGCACAUUGAAUAUUUUUUCUUUUUUAGAUUAAGUACAGGUACACAUUGAUCUUUUACUGAAAGUUAAAAAAAAAACAUUUAAAGAUACAUAUAAAUAAGAACAAAGUACUUUUAUCUAGCCCUGGAUCCCAAUAAUUUUUUUAGAACUCUCUUUUCCUAAAAGGUUUAUAGUGUAACCUUUUAUAUUUAAAUUUGCAAACAUUUCAAGUUAAUUAGUGUAUAAAGUGUGAGGUUUAUGCUGAGAUUUUGAGCCUAUAAAUGUUUACUUUCUCCAGUAACAUUUGUUAAAAAGACUAUUCUUUCUCCUUCAAUUGCUUUUGUACCAUUGUCAAAAAUGAAUUGGGCAUAUUUACUUGUGUCAAUUUCUGAGUUCUUUAUUCUGUUCUGCUGACCUAUGUCUCUAUCUCUCCACCAAUAGCAUGUGCCUUUUCAUAUAAACUUAAAAUAGGUCUAUCUAUAUGCAUAAAAAUAUGUAGUUGGAGCUUUUAUGACUGUCGUUAAAUCUACCGAUCAAUUUGAAGAGAGUUGACAUCGUUGCUAUCUUGUGUCUUCCAAACCAUUAAUAAGGUUGGAAACACUGUUUAUGUGGAAUCCAUGAAUGGACACUUUGGAGCCCAUUAAGGCCUCCAUGAUAAAAACAAGAAACAACCUAUCUGUGAAAGCACUUAACAACGUGUGGAUUCAUCUCACAGAGCACCGCUGGGCUAGGGUCUCCCUGCCCGAGCUGGUCUCAGCAAGUGGCAUCCAUCAUGCAGGCUCAAAUCCUGGUCAAAGGGUCACCAGAGCAAUGGUUGGAACCGAAAACUAGCUGGAGGACAUCCGGGUACUCUUAGAGCAAUCCUGUGGUGAGUAACAAGGGGAGCUCAGAAGCAUCAGGGUAACAAUAGGGCAAAGUUUGGGGUCUGGUUCAUUCCACCUUGGAACUUUUUCACACUGAUGAUAAGGAAGGAGAGUAUACAUUAUAAGUAACAGAAGAGGUUACACAGCAGGUUUAUUUGCCAGCUAAAGCUAAAGCCGUGAAGGCAGGAGAGGUUCAUCCCUACCCUUCUGUACCCCCUCAUAAUCAUUUUGAAGAAAAUGGCCCCCCAGAUAGUUCUUUUGCAGAGGACACUGGACGAAAAGUAGUUGCCCCAGUGACUGUUCCAGCAGUGCCUCGAGCCACAGCUCUUAGUUCUAUUCAGACAAGAAUUCAGCAAACUGUCUUAGACAAGAGGGUGAUUUAGAGGCUUGGCAGUUCCUUGUUAGAAUACAUCCCCUGGAUCAAGAGGGAAAUAUUACAGCUACAUUUGAGACUUUUCCUUUUAAAUUACUCAAAGAAUUAAAAUAAGCAAUAAGUGAGUAUGGACCAGAUUCUCCUUUUGUAAUGGAACUGUUAAAGAAAGUUACUGUUUCCAGUUGAAUGAUUCUUACUGACUGGGACACUCUUACUUGAGCUUGUCUAACUCCUGCUCAGUUCUUACGAUUUAAAACUUGGUGGGCAGAUGAACCUUCCAUUCAGGCUGCUCUCAAUGCCCAGGUCCAACCUCAAAUUAAUAUAACUGCAGACCAACUUUUAGGGGUUGGUGGCUGGGCUGGUUUAGAUGCACAACUGCUCAUGCAGGAUGAUGCCAUAGAACAACUUAGAGCAGGGUGCAUUAGAGCUUGGGAAAAAAAUUACUUCAAGUGGGGUGCAAUACCAUUCCUUUAGUGCUAUAAACCAGGGACCCAGAGAACCGUACGUUGAUUUUAUAGCUGGGUUACAGGAGUCUUUUAAAAAGAUAUUGCAGAUUCAGCUGUUCAGGAUAUAGUGUUGCAGUUAUUAUCUUUCAACAAUGCUAAUCCUGAUUGCCAGACUGCUCUGCGACCUAUCAGAGGGAAAGCAUAUUUAGUUGAUUAUAUCAAGGCCUGUGAUGGUAUCAGAGGUAAUCUGCAUGAAGCUACCUUGUUGGCACAGGCAAUGGCAGGACUGAGAGUGGA